UGGGGUGUCGCCAAGUGGUAAGGCAGCGGGAUUUGAUCCCGCCACUCGGAGGUUCGAGUCCUUCCAUCCCAG
This 72-nucleotide transfer RNA is filed under the name Auxenochlorella protothecoides. It matches the Rfam family "tRNA". From Rfam's summary of the family: Transfer RNA (tRNA) molecules are approximately 80 nucleotides in length. Their secondary structure includes four short double-helical elements and three loops (D, anti-codon, and T loops). Further hydrogen bonds mediate the characteristic L-shaped molecular structure. tRNAs have two regions of fundamental functional importance: the anti-codon, which is responsible for specific mRNA codon recognition, and the 3' end, to which the tRNAs corresponding amino acid is attached (by aminoacyl-tRNA synthetases). tRNAs cope with the degeneracy of the genetic code in two manners: having more than one tRNA (with a specific anti-codon) for a particular amino acid; and 'wobble' base-pairing, i.e. permitting non-standard base-pairing at the 3rd anti-codon position. Lineage: Eukaryota; Viridiplantae; Chlorophyta; Trebouxiophyceae; Chlorellales; Chlorellaceae. The record is from Rfam by way of RNAcentral.